AAGACCACGAGUUAUGAUCCAGAGUACCACGAGACACGUGAAACCUUGUGGGAAGCAGGGAGGACCACCUCCCAAGGCUAAAUACUACCUGAUGACCGAUAGUGAAGCAGUACCGUGAGGGAAAGGUGAAAAGAACCCCGGGAGGGGAGUGAAAUAGAACCUGAAACCGUGUGCCUACAACCGCUCAGAGCCCCUUAUGAGGGUGAUGAGGUGCUUUUUGUAGAACGAGCCAACGAGUUACGGUAUGUAGCAAGGUUAAGUACUUAAGGUACGGAGCCGAAGGGAAACCGAGUCUGAAUAGGGCGACUAGUUGCAUGCCGUAGACCCGAAACCGGGUGACCUAUCCAUGGCCAGGUUGAAGCGAGGGUAAAACCUCGUGGAGGACCGAACCACGUUGCUGUUGAAAAAGCAUGGGAUGAGCUGUGGAUAGCGGAGAAAUUCCAAUCGAACCCGGAGAUAGCUGGUUCUCUCCGAAAUAGCUUUAGGGCUAGCGUCGAGUAUGAGUAGUGGAGGUAGAGCACUGAAUGGGCUAGGGGGCAUAGCGCUUACCGAACCUUAUCAAACUCCGAAUGCCACAUACUUUGAGCUCGGCAGUCAGACUACGAAUGAUAAGAUCCGUGGUCAAAAGGGAAACAGCCCAGAUCGUCAGCUAAGGUCCCAAAGUGUAAGUUAAGUGGGAAAGGAUGUGAGAUUUCUAAGACAACUAGGAUGUUGGCUUAGAAGCAGCCAUUCAUUAAAAGAGUGCGUAAUAGCUCACUAGUCGAGAGAUCUUGCGCCGAAAAUGUAACGGGGCUAAACUUACC
RNAcentral lists this ribosomal RNA (803 nucleotides) under Clostridium perfringens. RNAcentral describes it as "partial 23S ribosomal RNA". It matches the Rfam family "Bacterial large subunit ribosomal RNA", at positions 389 to 1192 of the family's 2925-position model. Lineage: Bacteria; Bacillati; Bacillota; Clostridia; Eubacteriales; Clostridiaceae. The record is from RNAcentral.